GAUGAAGAACGUAGCGAAAUGCGAUAAGUAAUGCGAAUUGCAGAAUUCAGUGAGUCAUCGAAUCUUUGAACGCACAUUGCGCCCUGUGGUAUUCCGCAGGGCAUGCCUGUUCGAGCGUCAUUUCAACCCUCAAGCCCCGCUUGGUGUUGGGCCCCGCCCGCUGUGGCCGGCCCUAAAGACAGUGGCGGCGCCGCCUGGCCCUCAGCGUAGUACAUCUCUCGCUCCAGGGUCCGGUGGCCGCCUGCCAGAUCCCCCCAACUCUGUGGUUGACCUCGGAUCAGGUAGGGAUACCCGCUGAACUUAAGCAUAUCAAUAAGCGGAGGA
Molecule: unclassified non-coding RNA, 324 nt
Filed under: soil metagenome
Description: partial contains 5.8S ribosomal RNA, internal transcribed spacer 2, and large subunit ribosomal RNA
Rfam family: 5.8S ribosomal RNA (bases 1-120)
Source: RNAcentral